UCGUGCAAUGGACUCAAUUUCGA
This 23-nucleotide non-coding RNA is filed under the name Drosophila melanogaster (fruit fly). RNAcentral also lists the same sequence under 1 other name. The record is from RNAcentral. Lineage: Eukaryota; Metazoa; Arthropoda; Insecta; Diptera; Drosophilidae.